Molecule: long non-coding RNA, 271 nt
Filed under: Elaeis guineensis (African oil palm)
Lineage: Eukaryota; Viridiplantae; Streptophyta; Magnoliopsida; Arecales; Arecaceae
Description: long non-coding RNA (EGUI_LNC016282)
Source: RNAcentral
UGGUCCAAUUUAGUGAAAUGGUGUAUUUUUUCUCUAUCAAAGAUGGUGGAUAAAUUUUUUUUCUUAUUUUUGUAAUCAGAAUGGCGUAUCUAGCUUAUUCAUGGGGCACCGAUUCUAUUUAACGUGACUUGGCUUGGUAGGGUUAAGUUCUUUAAAUGAUUUGGCAAUUGGGCUCCACCAAACUUGUAUUUAUUUCUGCUAUCAAUUCAGUUGCUUAGUGUCGGUUGCUUUCUGUCCUUUUUGUCUUUUGUUUUUUGUCUUAAUUGCAGGG